Long non-coding RNA from Drosophila hydei, 643 nucleotides. RefSeq lists it as uncharacterized. The transcript has 2 exons. NCBI's taxonomy places the organism in Eukaryota, Metazoa, Arthropoda, Insecta, Diptera, Drosophilidae. The record is from RefSeq and is a predicted model, not a curated record.
UAUUCAUACAGUUAUUAUUGGUACUAAUUGGUAACUGAUAGCACUCGUAGACAAUUGAAAAACCAAGUUAAUAUAAAUAUUAUAAUGGAACAACUUAGCUGCGUGGGUUUUGUGCAUCGUUGCGAAAGGAUUCGUUCAUAGUUGGAGCGACAACAGCAGAAGCAUUAGCAGGAGAAUAACUGAGCUGUUAACAGAGGGCAGAAAUGCGAUGCGUUAAAGGAGCCUCGUUGGCCAAUUGGCAGCCACGGCCGCUGCAGCUAGUCCUCGGUCUGACCAGCCAAUGGCAGCGCGGCGGUUGAAAGUUCAAGUCGGCUGCAGGCAGCGUAAUGCACUUGGCAAACGUUCAAAGCGAACAGCAAGUGGCACACACACACACACAUGCAGACAUGCACACAUACACUCACACAGCCAUUGGGAAAGCGAGCUGUGAUUGCUGGGCUCACACGCGCAUGAGGAAAAUGUUGAUAAUAAAUCACGCAUACGCCUGUUGGCACAGCAAGAACUAUGCUCCUUCGAAAGUGCUUGUGUGUGUCCCUGUGUGAGUGUGCCUCAGUGUGUGUGUGUGUGCGAAGACUUGCACAGGCUGUUGGCCAACUGCAGUGCGCUGCUCGUUUUUAGACCGGCUCGAGCGAACGUUGGCCGC